Molecule: non-coding RNA, 358 nt
Organism: Sturnus vulgaris (Common starling)
Lineage: Eukaryota; Metazoa; Chordata; Aves; Passeriformes; Sturnidae
Source: RefSeq, a predicted model, not a curated record
UUCAUGCACACAGAGCCAGGGUGUGCCUGGCCCAGGAGGAGCUGAACAGAUCCGUGGGCUGCUGAUGUGUCCCUGGGCCUGUGGAGCACCAUCCUCGUUGCACACGGAUCCAGGAUGGAAAAAAGCCUGGCCCUGGAGCAGGGGGGUCCCCAUUCCUGCCCCACAUCCCCUCUCUGGAGGCUGUGGGUGGAGGUGCAAGGGCGUGAGCCCCUUGCCGGCCGCGGCGCCCCGACACGUGUCACAAUAGUAAUGUAAUUUGUCCGUUAACAAUGGGCAGCUUGAGGUUUAUAUUUAAUUACACCGAUCGCACCAACCUGAACUCACCCUUAUUCAUCAAUAAUGCAUGGGUUUGUGUUUA